UGAUAUUUCUAUCUCUCUCUUCCUUCCUUUCUGAAAUCAAUACAAAUAUAUAUUAAAAAAAGAAAAUAAAGGAAUUUUCAAGGCUGCUAGUCAAGAUUAAGUGGUAGUCUAUUUCUCCUACAGAA
Molecule: non-coding RNA, 125 nt
Organism: Myotis brandtii (Brandt's bat)
Lineage: Eukaryota; Metazoa; Chordata; Mammalia; Chiroptera; Vespertilionidae
Source: Rfam